RNAcentral lists this small RNA (370 nucleotides) under Histoplasma ohiense. RNAcentral's name for it is "hypothetical lncRNA". The record is from RNAcentral. Lineage: Eukaryota; Fungi; Ascomycota; Eurotiomycetes; Onygenales; Ajellomycetaceae.
UAUACCAGGCGGGCUCAAUCACUGAGGAGAUAUUCCUCUGGAUGCUUCAAAAUGUGCUUCUUGUUGCAGAACAGCCAUUAGCUGUCAUACACCGAGCUUCAGGUCGGGUUGUCGCUCAUACUACACAUGUGCUUGAGCCUGGAGAUUAUGAUGUCUCCUCUGCAGGGCCCAUUAAAGUAACGGAUGAGGUUUCUUCUUUGCGAGUCCUGAGCUACUCCAUUUCAGGCAGAGAGAAUCACUUUCGGGAUGGAGUCCGUUCAAGGGAUGGAAAAUGUGUUAUUACUGGAGUAGUCAACCAAUUCGCGCCAUUUGGCAGAUGGAAUGCAUUCAAGGUUGCACAUGUGUUCCCUCUGCGUCAUGAAAGUAUAUG